Molecule: long non-coding RNA, 603 nt
Filed under: Camelus dromedarius (Arabian camel)
Lineage: Eukaryota; Metazoa; Chordata; Mammalia; Artiodactyla; Camelidae
Description: lncRNA (ENSCDRG00005006377.1)
Source: RNAcentral
AUGCUUAUGAGAUCUAAACUCAGACUAAAAAUACUCUUUUGUGUAUAUACAGAUGGAAAUGCCAGAACGCCUUUGAUCAAGAACAGAGUCACUCAGCAUGAAUUAAUAGAAGUGUUUGAGGAUACUUUUCAAAUCAGACUGGUGAGCAAGGAUGGGAUGAGUGAAAGGAUCGCCUAUAUUGACUUCAAGUCACAGGCCGAUGCAGAGAGAGCCUUACAGAAACAAUGAACUGAGAUCGGUGCCAUAGUUCUGGACCAUGUUGGAAAGAAAAGCCAAAAUCAAGAAGAGAGAGAUGGAAAAAACAGCACCUGGAGAAGUAAGGGUGUUAAAACUGUAGAUGGAGACUUGCCAGGGUUGUUUGUCAGCAGGGCCCCCAGGGAGGGACUGGCAGGAGGUUAAGGGAACUUGACACUUUUAAAUAUAAUUUCUCCCUAUAUCAGAAUGCAUAAGUCAUCCUCAUAAUUCUAUCAAGCUAAUGGGUUUUGUCCUAGUUAACUGUGACUUUGAUGUCUGCAAAAGGCGUGGCACUUUGAGAUACAUCAGUUCAGUUCCCCUUUUUGGGGUAUCUUCUAGGAUUCUGUUUGAACAAGCUCUUGAACCUGU